Molecule: long non-coding RNA, 213 nt
Organism: Liolophura sinensis
Lineage: Eukaryota; Metazoa; Mollusca; Polyplacophora; Chitonida; Chitonidae
Exons: 5
Source: RefSeq, a predicted model, not a curated record
CGGAUGAGAUAUCAAAUGGUGUGCAAUCAACCAGACAUUACGAAAACGUUUCAGGUAGCAGGUCUUCAGGAGAAACAGGGCAGAUGAGACCGGAUGAGAUAUCAAAUGGUGUGCAAUCAACCAGACAUUACGAAAACGUUUCAGGUUUAGGGUUUUCCGCAGACGAACAAAAAAUUGGAGUCUAUGAAAAGGUGGAUCCCAUGCCCAACCCAG